GGGGUUGUAGCUCUGUGGUAGAGUGCUUGCCUCUCGUGUGAGGUCCUGGGUUCGAUCCUCAGCACCACA
RNAcentral lists this transfer RNA (69 nucleotides) under Marmota monax (woodchuck). Its description in RNAcentral is "tRNA.Glu". The record is from RNAcentral. Lineage: Eukaryota; Metazoa; Chordata; Mammalia; Rodentia; Sciuridae.